Chinchilla lanigera (long-tailed chinchilla) is the source of this 501-nucleotide long non-coding RNA. RefSeq lists it as uncharacterized. The transcript is spliced from 2 exons. The record is from RefSeq and is a predicted model, not a curated record. Lineage: Eukaryota; Metazoa; Chordata; Mammalia; Rodentia; Chinchillidae.
CUGAACAGUCCCUUAGCAUCUGAGACUAACUGUCAGUGUUGCCAAGGUCCUGCCAAGUAAGUGACAGCAUGCUGGUGACAUCACAAGUGUUGCUUGGCAGCCAUGCAAAUGAGCAGGUUUCUCACUCCCCAUUGGCUGGGCCACUCCUCAUCCCCACUAGAAGGCUGAGAUGUACUUUAACAUGUGUAUUAUUGCUGCUCUCCCAACAGACUUUUUCCUCCAGUUUCUGAGGUGUAAGUCCUAGAGACCAGAAACGAUGAUGAAGAAAUCCAAAUUCAGAUUGGGAGGAGGACAAAGGAACUGCCUUAGAAAGAGAAAAAAGAAGACUUAAGUGGCAUCUGGAAAGCUCGUACCCACCACAGUACUCAACCAAUGAGGAACCGUAGUGAGGGACCUGUGUGCUAGGAAAGAAUUCCUUGCUGGGAGAGCCCUGGGUGGGCCUUGCCUGCGCAGCAGACUCCUAGCCUUGCAGGAUGGAUUAAAGCCACGCUGUCACUACUC